This 1600-nucleotide long non-coding RNA is filed under the name Pan troglodytes (chimpanzee). Its description in RNAcentral is "long non-coding RNA NONPTRT015070". Lineage: Eukaryota; Metazoa; Chordata; Mammalia; Primates; Hominidae. The record is from RNAcentral.
AGGAGUGGCCUCAGUGAUUGAAGUGAGUGAAUUCAGCUAUAAUUGAAGCUGAAAAAUUUUCCAAAGAUGACUUAAAAUAACACUUGAAUUGGAGGGAGGAAGGAAAGCUAAUAUUAUUAGAGCACAACAUCUUAAAUUUUAAAGAAUUAUAUUUGAGAGGAAUAUAUACAAUAGACAGCUUGGAAGAGCGUUCUGGGAAGAAGCAAGAUUCACCUCUCUUCCAAUCUGAAACAUAAUAAAAAUGCCUUUCAUUUGUAUGGUUCUUCAGAGUUUAAACAUGGCUUUUAAGCACAUUUUUCUCUGAGGAAGCUCUUCCUUUGACAGCAUCUUCCUCAGUGCUGCCUUCAUGGCAUCAUUCCGUAAGCUAUAGAUGACUGGAUUGAGUGUUGGAGGUAUCACAGUAUAGAAUACGGAGAAUACAAGGUCCACAGUCGAUGAGGAAUCAGAAGGCAGUCUGAGAAACUCAAAGCCUGCAGCUGAAAGAAAGAAGGUGGCUACAAAUAGGUGUGGUAGGCAGGUGGAGAAGACCUUGGUCCGGCCCUCAGCUGAUGGGAUUCUCAGCACUGUAGAGAAGAUGCGAAUGUAGGAGAGCACAAUGGAGAUCAAACAGAUAAAUGCUGCAGACGUUGUGAAUGCAGCCAGUGCAAUCUCAUUAAUGAAUUCAUAAGAACAGGCUAGUUUCAGCAUCUGAGGAACAUCACAGAAGAAUUGGUGAAUGACUCUCUUCCCACAGAGAGGUAUGGAGAAGUUAAUGGCAGCAUGCAUGAGCCCAGAGAGGCCCCCAGCAAUCCACACAGCUAUCACCGCAUGCCUACAGGCACGGGGAUCCAUAAUAGUCUCAUAAUGAAGUGGUUGACAGAUUGCUGCGUACCUGUCAUAAGACAUCACUGUGAGAAUGGCCACUUCUGAUGAGGCCAGAGCUAUGAAGAAGAAAACCUGAAGAAUGCACUGAACAAGAGAAAUGUAACCGUUGCCCAUAAGUGAAUUUGCAAUGGACUGGGGGACUGUGACAGAGAUGAAGCAGAGGUCCAGAACAGAGAGGUGCUUUAAAAAGUAAUACAUGGGGGAAUGGAGACGACGGUCCACAGUAAUGAUGGUGAUAAUGAGGAGGUUGCCUGUCAAAGCCAGCAGGUAUGUCACCAGAAAUACCAAUGCAUGUAAAAUCUGAAGCUUACGCUCAUCAGAAAACCCCAUAAGAAGGAAUCCACUCAUUGAAGUCAAAUUGACCAUAGUCUCUCUGAAGAUACCAAGUGUGACUCUGUUUAGGAAGCCAAAGAACAGUAGGAAGAAAAUGCAUGACAUCUAAUAUAUUUGUGUGUCAAGUAACUCAAUUCCUCAGCAUGGAGGUACUGAAAUGAGAUGAAUUUAUUUUCAUUGUGAUUAGUUAAUAUUCAAUUCAAAAACGUUUUAGCAAUUAUUCAGAAAUAGAAUCCCUGAAUGUGAUCAACAAGUCAUAAACAUUUUCUGGAGCAGAGUUUGCAUUGUCAAAGAGGGAGAAAUUGAUGGAAAUGAUAAAGUCUUUACCUUCAAUAAAGUCAAUGAAAAUGAUUCUAGCAUACCAAUCUCAUUACAUCUUCUAUAUGAUGCCUUAGUAUUACAA